This 267-nucleotide ribosomal RNA is filed under the name uncultured Staphylococcus sp. Its description in RNAcentral is "partial 16S ribosomal RNA". It matches the Rfam family "Bacterial small subunit ribosomal RNA", at positions 96 to 355 of the family's 1533-position model. The record is from RNAcentral. Lineage: Bacteria; Bacillati; Bacillota; Bacilli; Caryophanales; Staphylococcaceae.
CGGCGGACGGGUGAGUAACACGUGGAUAACCUACCUAUAAGACUGGGAUAACUUCGGGAAACCGGAGCUAAUACCGGAUAAUAUAUUGAACCGCAUGGUUCAAUGGUGAAAGACGGUUUUGCUGUCACUUAUAGAUGGAUCCGCGCCGCAUUAGCUAGUUGGUAAGGUAACGGCUUACCAAGGCAACGAUGCGUAGCCGACCUGAGACGGGUGAUCGGCAACACUGGAACUGAGACACGGUCCAGACUCCUACGGGAGGCAGCAGUC